GCCUUCGUGGUGUAAUGGUUAACACACUCGGCGCGUAUGCGAGAGAUCCGAGGUUCGAGUCCCGGUGAAGGCA
This 73-nucleotide transfer RNA is filed under the name Stegodyphus mimosarum. It matches the Rfam family "tRNA". From Rfam's summary of the family: Transfer RNA (tRNA) molecules are approximately 80 nucleotides in length. Their secondary structure includes four short double-helical elements and three loops (D, anti-codon, and T loops). The record is from Rfam by way of RNAcentral. Lineage: Eukaryota; Metazoa; Arthropoda; Arachnida; Araneae; Eresidae.